Rosa rugosa (rugosa rose) is the source of this 2002-nucleotide long non-coding RNA. RefSeq lists it as uncharacterized. Lineage: Eukaryota; Viridiplantae; Streptophyta; Magnoliopsida; Rosales; Rosaceae. The record is from RefSeq and is a predicted model, not a curated record. The transcript is spliced from 5 exons.
CUUCACACCAGAAAACUGGCAUCCAUCUUGGCAUAGGGGACUCGAGCCGGUAGAAAUCAUGUCGGAGAUGGAAGCUAGCUCUUGUAGUUCGAUUCAGAGAGGGAAGCCUGAAGCCCAGCUCUGCAUAAAUAGCGGGAUGCAUACCCGUAAUGCUGCACUCUUUAUCGAAGACUCGAACCGGGUAAAACUUCCAAUUCUCUUAUUUCUUCUCACUGGGCUUCGAUCGAUCGAAAUACUGACCAAGAUUUCCAAAUUUAUUUCUUCGCUGCUGCAAAAUUCGGUGUGGCAAUCGGACAAAUUUCUAUAGCGGUAACUCGUCAGUCAGCUGGUGUACAAAGAGCUUGCGACCCAUUUUUGGCUUAAUUGUGUCUCCUCCACCGCUGCUUUUAUAGUCAUUUAGCAAAAGGACACCUCGAUCAUCUCUGUUAGCAAAGUUACAGAGAAGAAACGAAGACCAAAAAAACAAGGGUGAGGCUUCAAUCGUUUUGCUUGAUGUGAUUGGUACUUUGUAUGGUUUGCUUUGGAGGUGGUGGUUUAUCAUAUUGGAUGGGAGACAGAAGGCUGGGAGGCUCUUUAGUCGUGGCGGGUAUUUCUGUUUUUCAAAGAGACUUGCAGCCUAGCUGCCUCAAUUAUGCAUAUUCUGAAGCUUCUGCUCUGCUGCAAAUAAGUGGAAUUAAGCUUCCAUUUUUCUUUUUGUGUAGCCGUGACCAUGAAACCAAAAGCAAGGACUUCAUUUUCCUUUCUUGCUGAUCAUAAGAUUGCUUUUCCAUCUUGCAGACACAGUUUUGAAGAAAAAGCAUCGCAGACGCCAUUUGAACCAUCACUUGCCAGAGGUGGUCUUAUCUUCACAAAAUGUUGCGACUUGGCCACGUAUUUAUCUAGGAGUGAAUAGGCAUGUUCCAUCCUUUAUAGAAGUUGAUCUAUCCCUCCAACAUUUCAGCCACUAUCUUGUGCCAGGUAACAGGAACCAGACGACUCCCACCUCUCUUCCAUUUGUGUGGCUGCAAACUAGUGAUCGAGGGUGAGCCAAGUGAACGCCGCAAACUUUGUGAUCAAGGGUAGCGUAACAUCUUGGCUUUGGUGCUGCACAAAGAUUCCUCCAGAGCAGUUUCUUCACUUUGUGUGCCCAAGAACUUUGCAGACUCGUAGUUGGUGUGAACUGGCAGCCCCAGGCCUUCACUUGACACUCGUUUUUGCCACCCAUAUGCAGGACGCACCGCGAUACAGGCAUCAAAAACAAGUGCGGUGCACCCUCUAGUUUGGACCUUGCUUCUGCCACCCAUACGCAGGACGCACCGCAGUAUAGGCAUCGAAAGAAGGCCGAAAACACAGGUGAGCCCCUUCCCUUGCCGAAAUCACUUCUCCUCCUUCAUCUCUUGAAUGUGCUUCUUUUUUGUCUCCUUGGACCUGCACUGUUUGUUAACACAAAGGCAAAUGGAGGUGUAUUUGGUUGUUUUGUUUUCUGAUUUUGGUGGGCAACAAUGAGGGAUUUGAGGCUUUGUGAGCUGUGAAGGUGUUGUUGGCAUAUUUGGCCGGAGUGGUUUGUUUGGGGAAUGGAGGGACUGUUUCUGGUGCUUAGAAGUAGAGGCAAGUCUGCACUUACGAAGACUUCAGCAACGAUGAAAGGAAAUAGUAGGAAAAGACCAUGGAACCAGCAGGAUACUUGACUUUAAAGCUCCUCGCCGGGUCGUCGUCUCCAGCCUUGUGUUCCUUAUAUAGGGGGCAGUGAAGAUUCUAGAGGGCUGGAUAAACAUUUGUUUGAAAUUUGAAUCUCCCGAAGCUCACGAAAAUAAGUUGUUGAUCGGAGACUUCGUCUUUGACUUUGAGAUUGAACUUGGAUGCCCGCUGCCACUUUGUUCUUAUCUCACUUUGAGAUAUUUGAAUCACAAUUUGAAUGCUUUCUUCUGUUUCUGUUUUUUUCGUAGCUUAUUCCCGUUGAAACUUGGUCAAACAUUCAACUUGUUUGAAUUUGAGAAAUAGAUAAUUUGAAACAUUUGUUUAA